UAACCAACUGUGUGGCCAUUAUUUUUUUAAAUUUUAAGAACUCAUGGCUUAAACAUAUCCUUAUUCAAAUACGUCAGCUUAUACUUUAAUCCUGAGUUAAAUACUGAUUCAACAGCAACAUUAAAAAGCAAACAGGUGACUGCAAGUCAUGUUGGAAUGUGUGUCCUCUACUCUUGCACGGGAUAGCACUUUUCAUCAUCUCGUUAAGAAAGGGCUGAAAUGUAUUUUAUUGAGAUUUGAAUAUAAAUUGAGGUAAGCUAAGCAAUCAGAGCAGCUUGUGAGCAUUUCAUUCGGUAUAAUUACAAAAUUAAUAAAUAAAAUUUGGAAGGAUUAGUUAACAAUCUAUUUCAAUUUGGUUUUCAAAUUGUGCCCGUCUAAUUUCUUUCUGUUACCCUUCAGUAUUAACCACGGACUUGACUACCAAGGUAAGCACAGGCCUUCCUGAACAGCAGCAAGUGCUUCAACGUGCCAGGCAUCUUCCCUCCUAGUUCCAACACUUCUGUCAGUUAGGAAACCAGGUCAGAUCUCAGAGACAACAGAGGGCAACCACCUUCUACGCCAGCAUCCAUUGUGCUUGCUCACUGUUACCACAGCACCACCAUUAACCUCAUACACUAAUGAAAAAAGUGAAGUAUUAAAAUCCAGAAAAUGGAUACUCAUUGAUAAACUAAUGAGGUGCUCAGGAUACUUGUUUUUGUCUUUCUCAGAGAUACAGCCCAUUUCCACGUGAACAAAACCAAUGAAGCCCAGACUGCUUCAAUAUAAUCACUAAGUUGCUCUUUUACUUACUUUCCUCUCAAUCUCAGUACAGACUGGUGCUGAGAGAAGAUGCAGAAAACUUCAAACUCCCCAUGUGGACUCUUCAAAGG
Empidonax traillii (willow flycatcher) is the source of this 869-nucleotide long non-coding RNA. RefSeq lists it as uncharacterized. The record is from RefSeq and is a predicted model, not a curated record. NCBI's taxonomy places the organism in Eukaryota, Metazoa, Chordata, Aves, Passeriformes, Tyrannidae. The transcript is spliced from 2 exons.